Myotis brandtii (Brandt's bat) is the source of this 75-nucleotide non-coding RNA. NCBI's taxonomy places the organism in Eukaryota, Metazoa, Chordata, Mammalia, Chiroptera, Vespertilionidae. The record is from Rfam.
GGCGGUUCUCAGGUGACACACCCUGGAAUCGGGCUUCCUCCUUUCUGGUUCUGGGUACGUCACCCAUGAACCUCA